RNAcentral lists this long non-coding RNA (284 nucleotides) under Homo sapiens (human). RNAcentral's name for it is "non-protein coding lnc-UBAC1-4:2". The record is from RNAcentral. Lineage: Eukaryota; Metazoa; Chordata; Mammalia; Primates; Hominidae.
CCAGUGUCAAGCGCUUCUCAACGUUCAGUGCCUCGAAAGAACUUCCGUACGACCUCGAGGAUGCCAUGGUGUUCUGGAUCAACAAGGUAAAUCUUAAAAUGAGAGAGAUAACAGAGAAAGAAGUUAAAUUAAAACAACAGUUAUUGGAAAGUCCAGCUCAUCAAAAGUCUCCCUCCAAGUGGUAUUGGAAGUUAGUGCCUGUAAGUGAACCCCAAGCCGCCAGCUGCCAUCUACAGAGCCAUCCUGUCGCGAUCACUUGCUUCCAUUAAAAACUGCUCGCACCC